RNAcentral lists this ribosomal RNA (534 nucleotides) under Triticum aestivum (bread wheat). Its description in RNAcentral is "partial small subunit ribosomal RNA". The record is from RNAcentral. Lineage: Eukaryota; Viridiplantae; Streptophyta; Magnoliopsida; Poales; Poaceae.
AUGAUAUCCAAAGGUUUAGGCUGGGAGAAUCAUGAGCUUGAAUAUGCCCCAAUGCCUAUUGGCUAUGUUGAAUGGGGUACUAAUGUCAUGAAGAAAUAUCAUACCCACCUGAAGGGGAGUGAAGAGGGCGUGGAUUAUGUCUAUGGAGCCAUUUAUUGCUCUUUAGGCGACUAUUCUGUCUCCCCUCCUCUUUUAAGGUCUUUAUCGGAGAAAUGGGAUCCCAACACCAACACGUUUUUGUUCUCGUGUGGCGAGCAUACAAUCACACUUCUUGAUAUGCAUCAGAUCACGGGGUUGCCCCUUGAUGGUGAACCUUAUGAAGAAUAUGUUCCCCUAGCUGAUGAGUUGGAUCCUUUGACUCUUUUGUACCCCAACUUCCUGCCUCGGCUCCUAGAAACUUGGACCAAGCUUGCUGUGGGUGGCAAAGUAGGUUUCAAGGAAUGGUGUGACUUCUUUCACAAUAGUGGAGUAGACUUUGCUACCCAGAGCUUAGAAGACCAGUGCAUGUAUACUGCAGCUUUUCUCGCAAUAUAG